GCUUCCAUAGUGUAGUGGUUAUCACGUUCGCCCUACACGCGAAAGGUCCCUAGUUCAAAACUGGGUGUAAACA
Non-coding RNA from Danio rerio (zebrafish), 73 nucleotides. The record is from the annotation of a RefSeq genome assembly. Lineage: Eukaryota; Metazoa; Chordata; Actinopteri; Cypriniformes; Danionidae.